RNAcentral lists this ribosomal RNA (375 nucleotides) under uncultured Glomeromycotina. Its description in RNAcentral is "LSU rRNA". Lineage: Eukaryota; Fungi; Glomeromycota. The record is from RNAcentral.
UUGAAAGGGAAACGAUUGAAGUCAGUCGUACCAGCGGGAAAUCAACCUUUCGAGUGUGGUUUUGGAGUUUUGAAGAGUGUCAAAACCUUUUGAGAUUUCAAAAUAUUCGCUCUUUUGGUGUACUUUCUCGUGGGUAGGUUAACAUCGAUUUUGAUCAUCAUAAAAAGAUUGGAGGAAUGUAGCUUCGAUCUUGUAUUGAAGUGUUAUAGCCUUUGGUAAAUGUGAUGAUUAGGAUCGAGGAUUGCAACGAAUACCCUUUUGGGCUAUCCGCCUGAUCUCUGAUACGUGGCCUUGGUAUCGAAAGCGUGCUUAUGGUAUUGAGGUAUUACGGUCAAAAGGUUAGAACGGAUUACAUUCGUUAAGGAUGUUGACGUA